AUAGGGCUUACUGUAUAGUCUAGGCUGUCCUGGAGCUCUUAUGUAGCCUAGGCUAGCCUUGAAUUUGUGACUCUCCUGCCUCAGCCUUCCAAGAACUAAGAUGAUGGGCUUGUACUACCAUAUCUGAGUGUUCUCUCUCUCUCUCUCUCUCUCUCUCUCUCUCUCUCUCUCUCUCUCUCUCUCUCAUGCCACUGUGAGUGGGAUGAUGCGUGUACACGUGUGUGGAGGCCAGCGAUCAACCUUAAUAUUUAUAUCCUCCAGUUUCAGAAGCUGACCAUUUAUGUUCUGUCACCAGGACCUGAGGCUCUCUGAUUAGGCUACAGUGGCCGCUCAGCACUCCAGAGAUCCUCCUAGCUCUGCUCCCCAGCACUGGAAGUACAGGUGUAGGCCACCAUACCUGGCUUUGUAUGUGGGCACUGGGCUUGGGACUUAGGUCUUCAUAGCGAUUGCUUUAGUCACUGAACCGCUUCCCAGUUCCAUGGUGUUUUCAUUCUUAAGUCUGUCCUUCCUUUCUUUUAGAAUUUGUUCGUUCAUCCGUCCAUCCAUCCAUCCAUCCAUCCAUCCAUCCAUCCAUCACAUCCAUCUAUCUAUCUACCCAUCCUGCCUGCCUGCCUGUAUGUCUGAGCCUGUACACAUGCCAUAGUGCAUGUGUGGAGAUGACAGAGAUUCUCUUUCCACCUGGGGAGUGAAGUCAGAUCUUCAGGUUUGGCAGUAACCACCAUUGAGCCACCAGUGGGGUCAUUGGCCUUGCUGUAUUUUAAGAAAACAUUCUUUGGUAGGUUGCAUGAGUGUCUCAUCAACCAUUGUCUUUCAUUGUCCUGGGAAGAAUUUCCAUCUCAUAGCCUGGUCCCUUGGCCACUGUGAUUAUUCUUAAUGACAUCAUCUCUGGUCUGGGCCACUUGCUCUCAGAACUCAUGCCAGAUACAAACUAGACAUUGGGAUGGAGACCGGAAGGAAGUUUGCUCUGCCGUGGAUGCUGUUGGACUGAGAAACAGACAAGACAGUUUCUGCAGCGAGUGUGGGUGAGUAGGUCACCUCUGAUGAAUGCUUCCCCUGUCAGGAACUGAGAUAUACUAGAGACCUUUGUGCCCUUCUCUUUGCCUACCAGACUAUUGAAACACUGGACCCCAAGAAAUUGAAUUUGGCAGGAGUCUCUGCUGGGAGAAGAAAAAGACUGAAGCCAGCAGUGGAGUUUAUCUGCCUCAAGAUACCUCACACAGUUCUGAUGACAUGUCAGACCACCUUGUAGGAGACUAGAACCCAGAUGAUGUUGGGCCAGUGAUGGGUGGGAGGGACCACACUUGACCAUGUUUAGCUGUGCAUACCUCUUAUUUGCUAUGAAAACCUGAACUUCAUGUUGGGACCCCAACAUGGACCGAGAUAAGAUGGCACUAGGUCUCUUUACUCACCUUGCCCAUGAGAUCACAUUGGAUAACAUUGAAUACAUCUCUUUGCCUGCUUUCCUGUGAGUUAACUGCUUCUGUUGAGGGUGGGGGCCACAAGUCUGGCUGGUUAGGACUUGCUUGGUCUGGGCUCUGACACUAACAACUCAGGCAAUGCUGUUUUUGUCCAUGUGCAGACUCCACUUCUCAAGCCCCUGUAGCUUUCUGCCUGGAGGGCCCCAGGCCUGGGAGAGUCUGCACAGCAUCACAGUCACACCUCUGCUUUCGUUUAAAGGAUUCGCCUAGCACCAACGCACCAGUGUGCAACCACCCGAUCUCGUCUGCUAGAGACCCAGCGGGUUAGAGUCUACUCUGUGUUUUCUGCCUCAUCCCAUUCACUGAAACACACCGAUACGGCUUCGCUCCUAUCAUCUAUCAUCUUUCCCAUAAGGCCAUGUUUAAGGAUGUUGGCCUGCCACGUCAGUUAUCCUGUAAGGUACACGGCUCUGCUUCUAACUUAGCUCUGCUAAGCCAUCAUGAUUCUGUGAAACCAUGGAAACUUCACUGAAGUUGAAAGAGAGAAAGAAACACUUAAUUCUUUGGCUAUAAGACAUUCUUCAGAGGGUGUGAAUUGGGUGCCUCAAGGGUCGGAGGAUGUGGGCUUUUGGGGUGCGGGAUGAAGUACGGGGGGGAGAAGGAAGUGGCAUGAAGAGAAGAGAGGAGGCCAGCAGUGGGAGAUUGCAGUUCUGCCAAGUGUUGCCCUUGGGUCUCCCACCUUCUGACUGAGAGGGCUUUGAUUGUCCAUCAUGGCUGUCAUCCUUCAGGAGACUCCUAGGAAGUCCCAUUUUCAAGGUCUUCAUGGGUCCAUCCAUACUUCAGACUGAGAAUCAUGACUGUGCACCUACUGGGCAUGGGGUGGAACAAACAUGUAUUAGAAGAUCCUGGAACUCUCCAGUCUCAGCUCGUUGUCUCUAGCUGGUGAGGUGAGAAUCCUUUCAAGUGCUGCCAGCCUCUGUCAGAAUAAGAACAUCCUGGUGAUAACUCUGACAACCUCCUUCCCUGUGGAAAGUCGAGGCUUGCUUCUGUUGGGUAUGCAUUCCCAUGGGCAUUAGUCCUGUGAAUUUGUCUAAAUUCCUUUUAUGAUGUGACUUUAACAUAUCGCCUUACCUGAUCACUUCUAAACACAACUGGUGUUUCAGAUGAACUUACUUGUAAUAGAUUAUUGACCUUAGCCAUGUUAGGGGAAUUUUGACAAAGAAAUGAUUCUGAGUUUGACACUGUUGACCUAGAAACAGGUUAAGAGAUAAGCUAAAUCUAUACCCAUAGAAGUAAGAGACAGAAACACUGCUUAUGUAGAAUAGCCUAGAAAAAAAACCACCACAAAGAUUUCACAGUGAAAAAAAAAAUUACUGUUUCAUGAUUCCUCUUGUAAGUCAGUGCUAUGGAAAGUGGGUAUUGAAAUGUUUUGGGUCUUGUUUUUAAUCACAUAAAUAUACAAAAACAAACAUUUAAUGUUGGGAAA
Long non-coding RNA from Mus musculus (house mouse), 2904 nucleotides. RefSeq annotates it as predicted gene, 30762. The transcript has 3 exons. NCBI's taxonomy places the organism in Eukaryota, Metazoa, Chordata, Mammalia, Rodentia, Muridae. The record is from RefSeq and is a predicted model, not a curated record.